UGUUUCCAUAUGUCCAUCAGAACAAAAGGUCUGGACGAUUCCAAGAAGAAUCGGAAAAGGAAUACAAGGACAAAAAGGAUCUACACGGUGGCUUACAAAUGGAGAACUUUGUUUUGAUGGAGAAAGAAUUAUAGUUGGAGCACAAGAUCAGGGACAUCUAACAAAUGGUUUAAAAAAAAUGGCAGGGAUCUCACAAAAUGAUCAAUUC
Thalassophryne amazonica is the source of this 208-nucleotide long non-coding RNA. RefSeq lists it as uncharacterized. The record is from RefSeq and is a predicted model, not a curated record. The transcript has 4 exons. Lineage: Eukaryota; Metazoa; Chordata; Actinopteri; Batrachoidiformes; Batrachoididae.